GACGAACGCUGGCGGCGUGCUUAACACAUGCAAGUCGAACGGAAAGGCCCUGCUUUUGUGGGGUGCUCGAGUGGCGAACGGGUGAGUAACACGUGAGUAACCUGCCCUUGACUUUGGGAUAACUUCAGGAAACUGGGGCUAAUACCGGAUAGGAGCUCCUGCUGCAUGGUGGGGGUUGGAAAGUUUCGGCGGUUGGGGAUGGACUCGCGGCUUAUCAGCUUGUUGGUGGGGUAGUGGCUUACCAAGGCUUUGACGGGUAGCCGGCCUGAGAGGGUGACCGGCCACAUUGGGACUGAGAUACGGCCCAGACUCCUACGGGAGGCAGGAGUGGGGAAUAUUGCACAAUGGGCGCAAGCCUGAUGCAGCAACGCCGCGUGCGGGAUGACGGCCUUCGGGUUGUAAACCGCUUUCGCCUGUGACGAAGCGUGAGUGACGGUAAUGGGUAAAGAAGCACCGGCUAACUACGUG
This 468-nucleotide ribosomal RNA is filed under the name uncultured bacterium. RNAcentral describes it as "partial 16S ribosomal RNA". It matches the Rfam family "Bacterial small subunit ribosomal RNA", at positions 28 to 507 of the family's 1533-position model. The record is from RNAcentral.